Long non-coding RNA from Passer domesticus (house sparrow), 8178 nucleotides. RefSeq lists it as uncharacterized. The record is from RefSeq and is a predicted model, not a curated record. Lineage: Eukaryota; Metazoa; Chordata; Aves; Passeriformes; Passeridae. The transcript is spliced from 5 exons.
CUGUAGCUAAGGACAGGAUUUUGUAUGUCCAAAAUCCAGCCACUCAAGGGACUGUCACUGUUUGUGUGAGCAGUAAAGGGAGAGGACAAUUUUUUGGCUGCUAAUGAGCGUGACCACAGCAUGCACUGAGAGAACCACCCCCAGUGCUGGUGUUCUGAGGUGCUUCUCUUUGGCCUUCAGCUGGAACGGGAGCUGUUGACAACCACUUCCAUGAGGUCUAUGAAAACACAACACUGGCUCUGCCCUUUGUGGGAUUAAUUCCGACUGAAACAGUGCCCUUGAGUGUUUGUCUCAGGUGCUGAAAAACGUCCUCAAGGUGGGAGCAGCCCCUGAGCAUCUGAAUUAUCAAACCUGAUGGAUAAGGGCACGUUUGGCUGUGUGCUUCUCCAUCCCAGUGCCCCCUUGACCACAUGCAUAUGGAGCACGAGGAGGAUGUCACAGGCUUUCCUGCAGCUUUGCAAUUCAUAACUGAGCAAAAAUGUUCCUCAUUUUCAUCUGCUGAGACACUUCAAGCCUCAGGACCAAUUUAUUGGUGCUCCUGAGCUGCUUGUUGUGGCACCAGCCUGGUGCAAAGUGCCACGACUCUCUGCUGGUGAAAUUUCUCCUCAUGUAAAGUUUUUGCAGCCGAUCCUGAGCUGUGCCCUGGCCUGAAGGAAGGAGAACCAUGCUGGAGGCUUGUCAAGGGAGUCGGGUGUUCAUGAUGCAGCACAAAACUGCUGCAUGGGAUUUUUCUCCUGGUAUAAGUCAUCUGGCUUUUGAUUAUAUUUGCUUGUGGUGGUUUUAUUUAUUUUUUAAAAUUAUUAUUAAGAAAAGCCCUCAUUAGUUAUUUUUUUUAAAUAUAAUCAAAUCUUGGGAGUCCUUUCCCUUUAAAAUUAAUAGAUUAAUCUUUCCCAUUCACUUCUACCCUGGCCAUCAUGGCCUUAAGUCUCAUUUUUAGGGAAGCUGUCUAUUUACCAAUGUCUUAUUUUGAAAGGAAGAAAACGUUUUUGCAAUCAUCUGCAGUCAAAACAUUUUGAGUGCUCUCUUUGCUUCUUGCUCUCUUAUUCUCCACCACUCUCUCACAAAAACCAUGUGAGUACAACAAACACAGGAAUGUGAUUUAUCCCUUUUAAUUUUUUAAUUUUUUUCAUGUUCUCUUAAAUUAAAUCUAAGCAGGUGACAAGGGGCCAACAUCUUCUCUAAAGAAUGUGAAUUAGGGUCAUUUCCAUUAUGGGACCUGAAAUGAAAAUUUAAUCCAUACCACGAGACACAAUCAUGUUCAGAUUCCUCUCUGGACUCAGCACUAUGAUUGAGUAGGAAAAAAUAUUUAAGUGGCUUAAAAAUAAUUCAAUUUUUUUGCUAGCUUUUUUUUUUUGAGGUAUGUUUUUUGGCUUACACUCCUUUCAUUUGCAACUUCAGUCUUAACCUCUCUCUACACUCAGAUGUCUGGGGUGUGCAGAAGGAGGAAUUGUUUGUAUUCAAGAAACAAUAGAUUUGUUUCCAAAUCUAUUCAAGGGAAGUAACAAAGGGAAUUAAACUGUGCAGGUGUGUUAGAAAAACAUUUGAAUUAAGUGUUUCCAUCUCAGCCUUACAAGGUGGAAGUUGGAGGAGCUGAGCAGAUGGGAGGUGUCUGGCUCAGAUGAUCACCUGCCACUGACUGCAUUGUUAAAUAAUGACUGCUAGAGAGUAUUUGUGAUAGAAAUCUGCACAGAGAAACUGGUGAGAGAAAUACUUGCUGUGCUUGUUACCUCAUCAGGAGGAACGAAAACCCAUAAAAUUGUUAGGGGAAGUCAUACAGUAAUUCAUCUGAUCACACAAACCACUGUUGCUUUCAAAAACACUUUUGUCCAGAAAACAGAUUCCGCCAUGGAUGGUUCAGUUCUAUCAGGGAUUUCUUUUCUCCUCUGUACAAUCAGGAACACUUUAAUUAUUUUUAUUGUUGAGGAAAACAAUACUUUUGCCUCAAAAAAGAACAAGAAAGGGCAAAUGAGACCAGACUAAGCCAAGGUGCAUUCCCACCCGAGCUCAGAGAGUGUUGGAGUGAAACUUUGUUGUGGAAGAGGCAGAUUUUUCCUUUCUGGAUACUGCCAAUAGUUUUGGUGUUUGGUUGCUGUUUUGCUGUUGUUGGUUUGAUUUUGUUUAAAAUCUUUACUUUUUGAGAUUAACUGAUUUUUGUGGCAUUUCCAAAUCAGUGUAGAUCCUGCACUCCCGUCCUAGAAAUAACUUUUCCCUCUGCAGAACAAGAGCAGCCAAGGCCAGCGCUGCAUUCAGGGCACGGGGCUGGCUCUGAGCAGGGCUGGGCACCAGCAAAAUGAACUUUUGUGCAGCAGAGGUGGGAGCUCACAAGGGGGGAAAGGCACGUGGUGUUCGCAGGACCAGUGGUUUUUAUUGCUCCAGUUCAUGGAGCCAUGAAAUCACACAUGAAAUUAGACUUGUAUUAAUUAAUGAUAUAUUUGUGUCAGAGGGAAGAUUGAAAUGUGCAGUAACACUCCAUAUUUCCUUUAUUCCCUCUCCCUUUUAAUCCCACCUGUUAUUCUCAGGCUUUUAGGUUUUAAUUCUACUUGGAGAUUUUGUUUGUUGGGUUUGUUGUUGUAAUGAUGACACUUUAAAAGUUUUUUGUUUUAUUUUGUUGAUUUGGGUUGGUUUGGGGUUUUUUAAGCCAUAUUUGUAUCUUUUGCACAAGGUUUAAAAAGGGAAGAAUGUAAAAAAUUAUUUCAUAAGGGAAUUUUUUAAACACUUUUUGUACCUUCAAAGGCAAUCAUAUUUGGCUCCUAUCAAGCUUUGGAGGCAGAUUCGCUCAUCCCUAAAGAGAUAUAAAGAGGAGGAUGGUGGAGUUAUAGCAAAAAUUCAGUUGAAAUGGUCUUACUAAUGCUACUCUGAAGUGUAACUAUUCAAUUAAAAGGAAAAAUAAUGAUGCUUUUAUUAAACAAAAGAACACCAGCAGAGAAUAUUACUAAAGCCCAAGGACAAGUGUAACUCUUCUACCAACAAUAAUGCAGAUUUUUUGCAUAUAUUAUGGAUUAUAUUCUCUUUUCAAUGCACAUGCAUUAGCAUUAAUGGGCAAAAAGAAGAUAGAUCCAUUUGCACUUCUGCCCAGUAUUAGCAGCAAAAUUCAUUACAUUCACACACUCUCUGACUCUUUUGAUUCCUUUUGAAAUAAAUCCAAAUAUUCAUCAUUCAAGGACUUAAGGGAAUAAAUUAUUUUCCAUUUCUAGAGUGUCCACAAAAAGAUCAAAAUUAUUUCAUUUGGUAUUAUAAUUUACUCCACAAACUUUGCAGUUUAUUUUUUCUCUAAUUCUGGGGGUUGUGGAAAGGGGUUACUGUAAAGUCAGUGCUGCAGAUGCUGCUUGGUAAGGAUUGGUUUUGCAAUAUUGUUUUUUUUUCUCUGCUUAAUUAUCCAGUGCAAGGAGAAUUGGAAUUAUUUUAUCACAUGUUGCAGUUCUCAGGGAGACAUCUGACAACAACCUUUGAGGGGGAAUUCCUUCUCUCCUUUGCAGCCAGAACAACGGGAGUUCAGUGUCCAAAAUCUCUUUAUGGAAUUGCUUGGGAAUCUCUGCAAUUAUCUGUGACCUUCAGGGCUAACAGUGAAAAAAAUUUUGCUGCCUCUUCCCUGUGAAAAACAUGGUUUGGGUUUUAGUUUUUAGUGAAACACCUGAGAAGGUUUUUUUUCUUUCUCCCAAACCAGGCAGGUGCAAUCACAGGGAUUUCCAAGGGUGGAGCUGUGGGUUUUCUCAGGAUGCUUUUAUCAGCUGCCUAAAAUCCUCUCCUUUACAGUUUUCCAUGGGAAUGUGGGAAUCAGUAGGAAUUGGCACAUUGCAGAUGCACUUUAAAUCUUUCCAGGUUUGAAGUCAGUGGGUGUCUUUCUACAGUUUGGGAUCCAUCUGUUACUAUAUCCAAUAAAGUCUGGGGGAGACAACUGCCUGGUAUGGGUUUGGUUUGCAGGGAAAGGCUUUGAGGUUAGAACAUUGGAGUUGCAGAGAUGAAAGUACCUGCAAAAAAAGGAAAUAUAAUGGAAGUUUAGAUUUUGGGCUAUUUAAUGUUAGAAAUGCUCAAAAUUAUUUGGACAUAAUAUUGCAGAUGUUCCUAAAAUGAGACACUUGACUGGAUUGGAUGGGCAAAUAUAAUGGGAUAGUGGAAAUGUAGAAUGGGAGGUUGGUUUUUUGGGGUUUCUUUCACAUAAUUGAGAGGUUUCUUCCUCUUUUUAAAAUAUCCACUGGCAGAACCAGGGAGAAUUCCCUGACUGGAGAUAGUGUAUGAAUAUGUACAUGUAUAAUCUAGAAAAAAUUCUUUCCAAAAGCAGCAAGUGGAAAAAAAGUGAAUAUUCUGUAAAAUUUAAUUGCUUUAUCAAGGUUUCAAUUUCUUUCUUAGCAAAAAUGUGUAAUUUUAAAGUGAUAUAGGCCUCAGGCAAUGAAUACUUACUGUCAACAAAUUAUGCAGGAUUCAUAUAUCAUAUUUUUUGAAGUUUUUGCCAUUCAAUACAAAUCUUUUUGUUCCUAUGGCAACCUUGAUGCGAUCUGAAAUGUACACAGCAUUAGAUACAAAGGGUUGAAUUCAGGCCUGCUGUCUCUCCUGGAAUGAAAGCACCUUCUUAUGCAAUGAGAUUAUUCCAAAGCAGAGCGACCAACCAGUGAAAUAAAGUCAACCCACUCAAUUUUUGGCACAUUUUUCACAGCGACACUCAGACUGGAGUAGGAAAGGAGGACCAUGCACCCAGGCUGACCUUUCUUUGUGCCUCAGAUGAGGAGCCAGGGUUGUCCUGGUCAUGUGGAAGUGAUGAGAGUGUCCUGAAAGGAGAAGUGGCGCUUUGUUCCCAGAUCUCUCCAGACCUCUUGCAUGUCACCAUGUGUAGGUUGUGCUCUCUCAAGGCUCAUCAAAAAUGCAAAAUUACUGAAUGCCUUGUCUUGAACUCAGGGGCAAGUCCAGGGCUAGAUUACAGGAUUGCCUGCACUGCCCUUUCCAUACAUCACAAGCUUUUAAUCAGUGGAUGUAUUGCUGCCAUUACCACACCUAAAUACCAGAGGCAAUGUUUUCCUUGCAGAGCAAGGUUUAGCACUAAGCUUGUGCCUCCCUCUAAUACAGAUACUAAAUGAUUCAUGUUCCAAAUUUGCUGUUAGGAGGGGGAACAUCAUAACGUCCUUAAGUCCUUAUUAACUGGUUUUACUUUCUUUAAAAUGCAUUUUGUUAAGCAAGCGAAACAUAAAAACUUCACAUACUCCAUGAUUGAUGACCUUUCUCACAGAGCCUGUGAACAGGAACAACUGAAGAAUAUUGGAGCAAUUAAGAAGUUUCUGCACAGGCUGCACACUUAUCAAAAUGACUCAGACAGGCAUUCAGCUGGAUCAUUGCCCCUCAUGCCUUACCUGCUGUCAAAUCAGCUCUAACAGCACCCACAAAGGCUAUUUUAGGCACAUCAUCAAAAUGCCACCAUGAACUUUGAGUAGCAAUUAUAGGCAUAGAAUACAUUGGCCUUGCAGUGAUUUAAGAGGAGCUCCUCAAUAGCAUCUGUCCAGACACUAAUCUCUUACCAUGUACUACUUUCCUCACCUUACAGGUAUCAGCUCUUAGGGAAGUAUUCACAUUUUCCCAGACAAAACCCAGAGUUUCACAUGUAAAAAGCUCAACUAAUCCUGGUGGCACCAGAGCACUUGUGUGGAGUGUCUCCCUUUGAAAUGCCAGUUACUAUUGCAGGAAGUUCAAGGGAAUGGAAAGAAAUUUAGGCCAGAUGGCACUGCAGGGAUGUCUAUUGGAUAUUAAUGUCUGCUGUUCUGGAAUUGUUUUUUAAACAUCUUUUUUAGGGCUACAAGAAAGGAAGAGAAUUUCAAUGGGCUUUGAGUCAGGCUCUUCUGCUGCUGCUGGCAUUGUCUUCUGAAGUGCCUUUCUUGUGUUUACUGUAGUUUUGUGAUGCAGUGAGGAAUUUAUCUUGAUUAUAGAGCUAUUCAAAAAGCAUUGGUUCUAAUACUUAUAAACCUUAAAAUCCUAGAAUAGUUGACUGGAAUGAACCUCUGGAAGUCACCUGGUUGAGACCCCACUUGGACCAGGACCAGCCUAGAUCAGGCUGCUCAGGGCCUUGACCAUGAAGUUUUGAAUAUGCUGGGAUUAAUAUUCUUUCAAGUGAAAUCUCAGCAUGUCUGUGCCAAACCUGACCUCUAGCUUAAGCAGAUCAUGGUCUCCAGUCAUGGACAACCACUUGGCUUCAGAUACCUAAAGUCUUUUAAAGUUAAAUUUUCUGUGUGUCUGCAAUAAACAUGGAACUUUGGGGUUUUUUUUUCCUUCUGGUUUGUUUGUUUCUCUGGGGUUUUUGUGUUUUCAUUUUUGAUGGUUUUAUUUCUGAGAAAAAAAGAAAGAUUUCUAGUGGACUGGCAAGGUAAGAUAAAUUACUAUAAAUUGAGAUUUGAAGAAAAAAAAAUUCAAGGGUACAGAGUGUUUCAGCCUGCAAAGAAGUCAAUGGUUUGUAUUAAGUAUAAAACGGUUUCCAGAAAGUGGGAUGUCAUGAAAUAGAUGCCAGUAAUGUAUUUUUAAAUUUGUCUGGGCUUUCUUUUCCUUCUUUUUGUCCAUUUCUAACACUCUUCCUUUCUUUUGAAAUAAUUUCAUGGUUCCUCCUAAAACUGCCCAAAUUGAUUCAUUAUAUUUGAGUGGAUUUUAAAACAGGCAAAAUGACCAAUCUGCUUUUCAUAAAGAAAAACAGGACUUUCAGUUUCCUUGUGGCCUUUAAAUCCUUUCCCCCAGCUGAAGUCUCAUUGCAGUUUAUGAAGGAAUAUUCUCUGAGCGCAGAUGAAAGCCUGAAGUGUCAGAAGGGAAAAUAAACUCUUGGCCAUGGAAAGCAAAGUCCAGGAACAUCUUGGCUGUGAAAUUAGAGCAGAUUGAGGAGGUGAUCAUGGAUCUCCUCAUUUCUCCAGUCACACAGGAAAACCAGAAGAACGAAGAGGGACAGUUUUGUAGAAAGAACAGCAAAUGCCAAUUUGAGGCCAAAGCCAGGGCUUGCACUCCUCAGUAGCUCUGUGGGCUGAAGGUGAAACAGCUUUAUCUGCUAAAAGAGGGAGCUUGCUUUCCACCAGAGACAGGCUGCUUCUUUGCUGAAUGCAUACAAUAUAAAUCAAAGUAUGUGCCAUUAUUAAUAAAUAAGGUGUUGGGUAGGCUUUGUCUGGAAGUCUGGUUGAAAGAACUGAUUAUGAUCCAAUAACUUUUGAAAAAUGCAUCGUUGCCUUUGGGAUAUUGGAGCAUGGAAUAAUUAAACUGCAAGUUUGCAGAAGCAGGGUUGUAACCACAGAGAGGGACUGUUUUCAGGAGCUGAUUCACUUGUAGGGUUAAAUAUCUUUUUUCCUGAUUUAUUGAUAAAUAUCCCACUUGUGCAUAUCAUAACACAAAAGAAAUUAUUGAAUGUUUUCAGUAGAUACAUUUCCAAACUGUGCUGGUUAUUGAAAAUCAAUUGUGAUUGAACCUGCACUUGGGGAUUGUGGUGCUGAUAUUUAGAAUUUUAGGACUAUUAUGGGCCAAAUAGGAAAUGACUUGACUGCUAUUGAAAGGAAAUUUUGUGCAGCAAUGCUAAAUUCAGAUGCAGCAUGUAUUGUUUUAUUGGAAUUAAGCAUAUCUCAGUUCUCUUGAACUUCAAUUAUUGCACGGAAAGUAUAGCUGAUUACAAACAGGAAAGUUAUUUCUUCUGGCUGCUUGGUCUGGCUGUUACUGGGAAAGAUUGGAGAAAAUCUGCUUCUCUGUCUAUGAAACCUUCAGGUCCUGCUUGGAUGCUUCCUCUGUCACCAGAGAAAAGAAAUCUGGUCCCUGAUCCUCUUUCUUUUGCAGGAUCAAUCACAUGCAGCUGUGGAAGUCACAGGAGAGGGAGUCUCAUGUUUUAUCCAAAUUCUUUUCCAAUCCCAUUAUUUCAAUCACAUCAUUGUGCUUCUGUUUAUGUACAAAACAUUUCCUGGGGACUGCAUGGGCUGAGGAUAAGGUUUCCAGAGGUGUCACUUGAACAAUCUUCAAAAUCUACAGGGAGAAGCUCUGCCCAGUCCCUGUGUGAUGUGAUUAAUAAUCCCAGUGCAUCUUAAUCCAUCACAACUUUGAGAGAGUGCAUUACUGUGCCUGAGAAACAGAUAAUGCUGCUGUAGGACAAGGGAGGAUUUAACACUCAGCAGCAGUGAUAAGAGGAAAAACAGUAUAAAAGUGCAGAAUAAAACAGUUUUCUGUCACAGCAUUAAGCUGGAA